This is a long non-coding RNA of Mauremys reevesii (Reeves's turtle), 692 nucleotides long. RefSeq lists it as uncharacterized. NCBI's taxonomy places the organism in Eukaryota, Metazoa, Chordata, Testudines, Geoemydidae. The record is from RefSeq and is a predicted model, not a curated record. The transcript is spliced from 3 exons.
GAUGCCAGCAGCGCUGCUGCGACGGGUUCUCACCGAUGCGGAGGGAACAACAGUAUUGCUGAGACUCUGAGAUUUGGUGCCUCUCCACGUCUGACAGAAGACUCUGAGGAAAGGCGGGGGCAAGGGCAGAAUUGCUGCAGGAAGGUGCCUGCCUCUAUCAAGUAUUCAUUUAACACAAGCUCCGGCGGAUAUCUGAGAAUCAGCCUGCGCCAAAUCAGGAAGAGCUCAAAACACGUUGUAAAUGUCACAUUACCCAUCACUGAAAGGCAGCCACCCCAGGCAUGGAAGGCAGCAGCUUUCUGACAACUCACAUCCAAGGCUCUGUGACAGCUUAAAAGAGGAGGUGGCUAUGGAUUUGAUACUAUAUUGAAACUGGAGUAUGGUAGAUUCUGAGAGCUGCAAAAUCCGAGGGCUCCAUGUGGAAUGACAGUGGCAACAGAACUAACUCACUUGCAGGCAUUCCUUUCUCCAAGUGUCACAUCUCACCCUAAAGGGGGAACUGCCAUGAGCACAGCACCCCUUUACCCUACACAGAAAAGGGCUCCCUGUACUGCAUUGCCACACCUGGGUUUCUUUGGAGGCCUCCCCUCCAAGCACUGAACUGCCCCAGCCCUGCUUAGCAGGUGAGAUCCCCACUCCAAGGGUACAGCCUGUUUCUGACAAUCAGCUGAUGCAAUUAAGGAGCGAUGCCA